Molecule: transfer RNA, 63 nt
Filed under: Rattus norvegicus (Norway rat)
Lineage: Eukaryota; Metazoa; Chordata; Mammalia; Rodentia; Muridae
Rfam family: tRNA
About the family: Transfer RNA (tRNA) molecules are approximately 80 nucleotides in length. Their secondary structure includes four short double-helical elements and three loops (D, anti-codon, and T loops).
Source: Rfam by way of RNAcentral
GGGGAUUUGGCUCAGCGGUAGAGCACUUGCCUAGCAAGCGCAAGGCCCUGGGUUCAGUCCCCA